RNAcentral lists this ribosomal RNA (2930 nucleotides) under Escherichia coli. RNAcentral describes it as "23S ribosomal RNA". It matches the Rfam family "Bacterial large subunit ribosomal RNA". The record is from RNAcentral. Lineage: Bacteria; Pseudomonadati; Pseudomonadota; Gammaproteobacteria; Enterobacterales; Enterobacteriaceae.
GGGUUGUGAGGUUAAGCGACUAAGCGUACACGGUGGAUGCCCUGGCAGUCAGAGGCGAUGAAGGACGUGCUAAUCUGCGAUAAGCGUCGGUAAGGUGAUAUGAACCGUUAUAACCGGCGAUUUCCGAAUGGGGAAACCCAGUGUGUUUCGACACACUAUCAUUAACUGAAUCCAUAGGUUAAUGAGGCGAACCGGGGGAACUGAAACAUCUAAGUACCCCGAGGAAAAGAAAUCAACCGAGAUUCCCCCAGUAGCGGCGAGCGAACGGGGAGCAGCCCAGAGCCUGAAUCAGUGUGUGUGUUAGUGGAAGCGUCUGGAAAGGCGCGCGAUACAGGGUGACAGCCCCGUACACAAAAAUGCACAUAUUGUGAGCUCGAUGAGUAGGGCGGGACACGUGGUAUCCUGUCUGAAUAUGGGGGGACCAUCCUCCAAGGCUAAAUACUCCUGACUGACCGAUAGUGAACCAGUACCGUGAGGGAAAGGCGAAAAGAACCCCGGCGAGGGGAGUGAAAAAGAACCUGAAACCGUGUACGUACAAGCAGUGGGAGCACGCUUAGGCGUGUGACUGCGUACCUUUUGUAUAAUGGGUCAGCGACUUAUAUUCUGUAGCAAGGUUAACCGAAUAGGGGAGCCGAAGGGAAACCGAGUCUUAACUGGGCGUUAAGUUGCAGGGUAUAGACCCGAAACCCGGUGAUCUAGCCAUGGGCAGGUUGAAGGUUGGGUAACACUAACUGGAGGACCGAACCGACUAAUGUUGAAAAAUUAGCGGAUGACUUGUGGCUGGGGGUGAAAGGCCAAUCAAACCGGGAGAUAGCUGGUUCUCCCCGAAAGCUAUUUAGGUAGCGCCUCGUGAAUUCAUCUCCGGGGGUAGAGCACUGUUUCGGCAAGGGGGUCAUCCCGACUUACCAACCCGAUGCAAACUGCGAAUACCGGAGAAUGUUAUCACGGGAGACACACGGCGGGUGCUAACGUCCGUCGUGAAGAGGGAAACAACCCAGACCGCCAGCUAAGGUCCCAAAGUCAUGGUUAAGUGGGAAACGAUGUGGGAAGGCCCAGACAGCCAGGAUGUUGGCUUAGAAGCAGCCAUCAUUUAAAGAAAGCGUAAUAGCUCACUGGUCGAGUCGGCCUGCGCGGAAGAUGUAACGGGGCUAAACCAUGCACCGAAGCUGCGGCAGCGACGCUUAUGCGUUGUUGGGUAGGGGAGCGUUCUGUAAGCCUGCGAAGGUGUGCUGUGAGGCAUGCUGGAGGUAUCAGAAGUGCGAAUGCUGACAUAAGUAACGAUAAAGCGGGUGAAAAGCCCGCUCGCCGGAAGACCAAGGGUUCCUGUCCAACGUUAAUCGGGGCAGGGUGAGUCGACCCCUAAGGCGAGGCCGAAAGGCGUAGUCGAUGGGAAACAGGUUAAUAUUCCUGUACUUGGUGUUACUGCGAAGGGGGGACGGAGAAGGCUAUGUUGGCCGGGCGACGGUUGUCCCGGUUUAAGCGUGUAGGCUGGUUUUCCAGGCAAAUCCGGAAAAUCAAGGCUGAGGCGUGAUGACGAGGCACUACGGUGCUGAAGCAACAAAUGCCCUGCUUCCAGGAAAAGCCUCUAAGCAUCAGGUAACAUCAAAUCGUACCCCAAACCGACACAGGUGGUCAGGUAGAGAAUACCAAGGCGCUUGAGAGAACUCGGGUGAAGGAACUAGGCAAAAUGGUGCCGUAACUUCGGGAGAAGGCACGCUGAUAUGUAGGUGAAGUCCCUUGCGGAUGGAGCUGAAAUCAGUCGAAGAUACCAGCUGGCUGCAACUGUUUAUUAAAAACACAGCACUGUGCAAACACGAAAGUGGACGUAUACGGUGUGACGCCUGCCCGGUGCCGGAAGGUUAAUUGAUGGGGUUAGCGCAAGCGAAGCUCUUGAUCGAAGCCCCGGUAAACGGCGGCCGUAACUAUAACGGUCCUAAGGUAGCGAAAUUCCUUGUCGGGUAAGUUCCGACCUGCACGAAUGGCGUAAUGAUGGCCAGGCUGUCUCCACCCGAGACUCAGUGAAAUUGAACUCGCUGUGAAGAUGCAGUGUACCCGCGGCAAGACGGAAAGACCCCGUGAACCUUUACUAUAGCUUGACACUGAACAUUGAGCCUUGAUGUGUAGGAUAGGUGGGAGGCUUUGAAGUGUGGACGCCAGUCUGCAUGGAGCCGACCUUGAAAUACCACCCUUUAAUGUUUGAUGUUCUAACGUUGACCCGUGAUCCGGGUUGCGGACAGUGUCUGGUGGGUAGUUUGACUGGGGCGGUCUCCUCCUAAAGAGUAACGGAGGAGCACGAAGGUUGGCUAAUCCUGGUCGGACAUCAGGAGGUUAGUGCAAUGGCAUAAGCCAGCUUGACUGCGAGCGUGACGGCGCGAGCAGGUGCGAAAGCAGGUCAUAGUGAUCCGGUGGUUCUGAAUGGAAGGGCCAUCGCUCAACGGAUAAAAGGUACUCCGGGGAUAACAGGCUGAUACCGCCCAAGAGUUCAUAUCGACGGCGGUGUUUGGCACCUCGAUGUCGGCUCAUCACAUCCUGGGGCUGAAGUAGGUCCCAAGGGUAUGGCUGUUCGCCAUUUAAAGUGGUACGCGAGCUGGGUUUAGAACGUCGUGAGACAGUUCGGUCCCUAUCUGCCGUGGGCGCUGGAGAACUGAGGGGGGCUGCUCCUAGUACGAGAGGACCGGAGUGGACGCAUCACUGGUGUUCGGGUUGUCAUGCCAAUGGCACUGCCCGGUAGCUAAAUGCGGAAGAGAUAAGUGCUGAAAGCAUCUAAGCACGAAACUUGCCCCGAGAUGAGUUCUCCCUGACUCCUUGAGAGUCCUGAAGGAACGUUGAAGACGACGACGUUGAUAGGCCGGGUGUGUAAGCGCAGCGAUGCGUUGAGCUAACCGGUACUAAUGAACCGUGAGGCUUAACCUUACAACGCCGAAGCUGUU